UACAGGGAGUGCAGAAUUAUUAGGCAAAUUAGUAUUUUGACCACAUCAUCCUCUUUAUGUAUGUUGUCUUACUCCAAGCUGUAUAGGCUCGAAAGCCUACUACCAAUUAAGCAUAUUAGGUGAUGUGCACCUCUGUAAUGAGAAGGGGUGUGGUCUAAUGACAUCAACACCCUAUAUCAGGUGUGCAUAAUUAUUAGGCAACUUCCUUUCCUUUGGCAAAAUGGGUCAAAAGAAGGACUUGACAG
Molecule: long non-coding RNA, 245 nt
Filed under: Pelobates cultripes (western spadefoot toad)
Lineage: Eukaryota; Metazoa; Chordata; Amphibia; Anura; Pelobatidae
Source: RNAcentral